GUGUAAUUUUAUCCUGCUGAAUGCAAUUCUUCUUUCAAUAGAUUCAGAUGACGCUGACUCCCUACAAUGAAACUUAAUUUCCCUUACGGGAUGAAGUGCAACUUGGGGAAAAUCUAAUAUCAAAUUUUGAGUUUCGUCUGCUAUUAAAGCACCGUUUAUCCCUACAAAUUGUCCUCCAAGAAAUGCAUAAGAUGUUGAAACCAUGCAGAACACAAUGGUGUAGGGUGUCGUUUCAUUUAAAGAACAGACACAUGCGUCUCUUUUAUAAAAGAACGACAUUAGUUGGAAGUACACAAAAGGAUUGUGGAACAUAGAAUUGUGUUGUGCCCCGGAUUGUGCGGUUGUUCUAAUAAUGCUGGGUUUUCGUAAGUUGAAAUAAAAGGCGAAUGAGAAAACAACCCUUUGGGCAAUUAUAACGAGAUGGUGGAAAAUACAAUGGGAAAGCGAAAACGUUUGGAAAUAGAAGUAGUUGUGAAUUACGGUUUCUACUAAGGGAAC
This is a long non-coding RNA of Hermetia illucens (black soldier fly), 498 nucleotides long. RefSeq lists it as uncharacterized. The transcript is spliced from 3 exons. The record is from RefSeq and is a predicted model, not a curated record. Lineage: Eukaryota; Metazoa; Arthropoda; Insecta; Diptera; Stratiomyidae.